This 508-nucleotide ribosomal RNA is filed under the name uncultured bacterium. RNAcentral describes it as "partial 16S ribosomal RNA". It matches the Rfam family "Bacterial small subunit ribosomal RNA", at positions 28 to 523 of the family's 1533-position model. The record is from RNAcentral.
GACGAACGCUGACGGCGUGCUUUAGACAUGCAAGUCGAACGAGAAAGCCCUUCGGGGUUAGUAAAGUGGCGAACGGGUGAGUAACACGUGGGCAAUCUGCCCUUCGUAGGGGGACAACCGGGGGAAACCCCGGCUAAUACCCCGUAAGCUUGUCGGGUCGCAUGGCCUGACAAGGAGAGGUAGCUUCGGCCAUCCGGCGAAGGAGGAGCCCGCGGUUCAUUAGCUAGUUGGUGAGGUAACGGCUCACCAAGGCUACGAUGAAUAGCUGGUCUGAGAGGAUGAUCAGCCACACUUGGGCUGAGACACGGCCCAGACUCCUACGGGAGGCAGCAGUCGGGAAUCUUGCACAAUGGGCGAAAGCCUGAUGCAGCAACGCCGUGUGAGCGACGAAGGCCUUAGGGUCGUAAAGCUCUGUUGUUAGGGACGAAGGGCGAAGGGUUAAUAGCCCUUAGCCUGACGGUACCUUUCGAGGAAGCCCCGGCUAACUACGUGCCAGCAGCCGCAGUAA